This 708-nucleotide long non-coding RNA is filed under the name Panax ginseng (ginseng). Its description in RNAcentral is "long non-coding RNA (PGIN_LNC014082)". The record is from RNAcentral. Lineage: Eukaryota; Viridiplantae; Streptophyta; Magnoliopsida; Apiales; Araliaceae.
GAUAUUUCAUUCCCCUUUCCUGUCAUCUCUUAUUCCUGUUCCUUUCAUCCAUACUAGAUAGCAACAAAAGGAAAAAAAUAGAAAGAUUAGCACAAAAUAAACCAUCUGUACCAUCGGCAACGAGUGAAGAUGCCGACGAUCUAAUCUGCAACAAGUGAAGACACCCACGAGCAUAUCUACAAACAUACUUUCAUUUUCACUGUUCUCCCUCUUGUUAUUUUUCAUCUUUAUUUUCUUUUCUUUUUUCCUUUUUCUUUUUGCUUUCGUUUGGGCUUGUUGGUGACAAUAAAUUUGUUGAUUUAGGUGUUAGGGUUUUGCUGCAAUUUGAGACCCUUUUAAAUUUCAUUUAUUUGAGUGGUUGAUUGUGCUUUAUUUCAUUUCUCUGCCUUGUUAAAAUUGUUGUUGUGUUCUGGAUUAUCUUAUUAUGGGUGAUGGUAGUGAUGAAAUUUUUUGGUGGGUGAUUUCUUUCCAUCUUCUGUUCUUUUAUUUUUUUCGAUUUGGGCUAUGGUGGUGUUGUGGUGAGUGGUGUUAACGGUGGUGGGUUGUGCUAAUGCCUUAGCGGUGGUGGCGAGUUGUGCUAACGCCUUGGUGGCGGGUGGAUCUCGUGGUGGUGGUGGUGGUGGUGGAUCUGGUGAUGGCGUGACCGUGCAUGGUGGUGGAUGGUGAUGAAUAUCUGAAUUAAUUAGAUCCAAAAAAAACUUAUUUCAC